Molecule: ribosomal RNA, 268 nt
Filed under: Clostridioides difficile
Lineage: Bacteria; Bacillati; Bacillota; Clostridia; Peptostreptococcales; Peptostreptococcaceae
Description: partial 23S ribosomal RNA
Rfam family: Bacterial large subunit ribosomal RNA
Source: RNAcentral
AAUCGAAGCAGUGAACUUAAGCCCCAGUAAACGGCGGCCGUAACUAUAACGGUCCUAAGGUAGCGAAAUUCCUUGUCGGGUAAGUUCCGACCCGCACGAAAGGCGUAACGAUUUGGGCACUGUCUCAACAACAGACUCGGUGAAAUUGUAAUUCCGGUGAAGAUGCCGGAUACCUGCGACAGGACGGAAAGACCCCAUGGAGCUUUACUGUAGCUUGACAUUGGGUCUUGGUACUACAUGUACAGGAUAGGUGGGAGGCUUUGAAACC